GNAGAGGAAAGUGGAAUUCCUAGUGUAGCGGUGAAAUGCGUAGAUAUUAGGAAGAACACCAGUGGCGAAGGCGACUUUCUGGACGAAAACUGACGCUGAGGCGCGAAAGCCAGNGGAGCGAACGGGAUUAGAUACCCCGGUAGUCCUGNCCGUAAACGAUGGGUACUAGGUGUAGGAGGUAUCGACCCCUUCUGUGCCGGAGUUAACGCAAUAAGUACCCCGCCUGGGGAGUACGACCGCAAGGUUGAAACUCAAAGGAAUUGACGGGGGCCCGCACAAGCGGUGGAGUAUGUGGUUUAAUUCGACGCAACGCGAAGAACCUUACCAGGUCUUGACAUUGAUGGACAGAACUAGAGAUAGUUCCUCUUCUUCGGAAGCCAGAAAACAGGUGGUGCACGGUUGUCGUCAGCUCGUGUCGUGAGAUGUUGGGUUAAGUCCCGCAACGAGCGCAACCCCUAUCUUAUGUUGCCAGCACUUUGGGUGGGAACUCAUGAGAGACUGCCGCAGACAAUGCGGAGGAAGGCGGGGAUGACGUCAAAUCAUCAUGCCCCUUAUGACCUGGGCUACACACGUACUACAAUGGGAGUUAAUAGACGGAAGCGAGAUCGCGAGAUGGAGCAAACCCGAGAAACACUCUCUCAGUUCGGGUCGUAGGCUGCAACUCGCCUACGUGAAGUCGGAAUCGCUAGUAAUCGCAGGUCAGCAUACUGCGGUGAAUACGUUCCCGGGCCUUGUACAC
Molecule: ribosomal RNA, 739 nt
Filed under: uncultured bacterium
Lineage: Bacteria
Description: bacterial SSU rRNA
Rfam family: Bacterial small subunit ribosomal RNA
Source: RNAcentral